GUCAAUAAGAGACACAGUCAGUCUGUGUUUGGGAAGCGGCAAAGAGGGAGGGCAGUGAAAGAAUCCCUGUUUUUCUUCUUAAAGUGAAGGGACAUAAACACCUCAUAGGAAUGGUAGCAGCUGUCUGGACAUCAAAGUGAAAAAACCCGAAGCUGAGUGCUCAGGACCCAGAAGGAGCCUGGUUGUAUAGCCUCAGCUCCCGGAUCAGUGCUCUCCACCCCAGAGCUGCUGCUGGGCCAGCCUCCACUGAGCCAGCCUCUGCUGAGGAAGUCCCAGGUUAUGACCAAGUGUGCUCCUCUCUCCUCUCCCCAUCCACACCUGGUCCCAGAAGACAGUGAAACCUAAAAUAUUCACUUGUAAAACAAGUUUCAAGGUCAAAUCAAUGAACCAUUUUAAGUAAAAAGGC
Molecule: non-coding RNA, 406 nt
Organism: Sus scrofa (pig)
Lineage: Eukaryota; Metazoa; Chordata; Mammalia; Artiodactyla; Suidae
Source: RefSeq, a predicted model, not a curated record